Molecule: ribosomal RNA, 952 nt
Filed under: Trachyaretaon echinatus
Lineage: Eukaryota; Metazoa; Arthropoda; Insecta; Phasmatodea; Heteropterygidae
Description: SSU rRNA
Rfam family: Eukaryotic small subunit ribosomal RNA
Source: RNAcentral
CAGCAGGCGCGCAAAUUACCCACUCCCGGCACGGGGAGGUAGUGACGNAAAAUAACGAUACGGGACUCAUCCGAGGCCCCGUAAUCGGAAUGAGCACACUUUAAAACCUUUAACGAGUAUCCAUUGGAGGGCAAGUCUGGUGCCAGCAGCCGCGGUAAUUCCAGCUCCAAUAGCGUAUAUUAAAGUUGUUGCGGUUAAAAAGCUCGUAGUUGGAUUUGUGUCCCACGCUGUCGGUUCACCGUUCGUCGGUGUUUAACUGGCAUGCCUGUGCGGACGUCCUGCCGGUGGAUGCGGUCGGCCGUGGGCCUCUGGUCUGCGCGUCGGCGGUCCGAUUCAAUCCUACCGCGGUGCUCUUCACCGAGUGUCGAGGUGGGCCGGCACGUUUACUUUGAACAAAUUAGAGUGCUCAAAGCAGGCAGUGGUUCGCCUGAAUAUUGUGUGCAUGGAAUAAUGGAAUAGGACCUCGGUUCUAUUUUGUUGGUUUUCGGAACUUGAGGUAAUGAUUAAUAGGGACAGACGGGGGCAUUCGUAUUGCGACGUUAGAGGUGAAAUUCUUGGAUCGUCGCAAGACGAACCUAAGCGAAAGCAUUUGCCACGAGUGUUUUCAUUAAUCAAGAACGAAAGUUAGAGGUUCGAAGGCGAUCAGAUACCGCCCUAGUUCUAACCAUAAACGAUGCCAGCUAGCGAUCCGCCGAAGUUCCUCCGAUGACUCGGCGGGCAGCUUCCGGGAAACCAAAGCUUUUGGGUUCCGGGGGAAGUAUGGUUGCAAAGCUGAAACUUAAAGGAAUUGACGGAAGGGCACCACCAGGAGUGGAGCCUGCGGCUUAAUUUGACUCAACACGGGAAACCUCACCAGGCCCGGACACCGGAAGGAUUGACAGAUUGAGAGCUCUUUCUUGAUUCGGUGGGUGGUGGUGCAUGGCCGUUCUUAGUUGGUGGAGCGAUUUGUCUG